RNAcentral lists this ribosomal RNA (465 nucleotides) under Vreelandella stevensii. RNAcentral describes it as "partial 16S ribosomal RNA". It matches the Rfam family "Bacterial small subunit ribosomal RNA", at positions 338 to 795 of the family's 1533-position model. The record is from RNAcentral. Lineage: Bacteria; Pseudomonadati; Pseudomonadota; Gammaproteobacteria; Oceanospirillales; Halomonadaceae.
CCUACGGUAGGCAGCAGUGGGGAAUAUUGGACAAUGGGCGAAAGCCUGAUCCAGCCAUGCCGCGUGUGUGAAGAAGGCCUUCGGGUUGUAAAGCACUUUCAGUGGGGAAGAAAGCCUUGGGGCUAAUACCCUCGAGGAAGGACAUCACCCACAGAAGAAGCACCGGCUAACUCCGUGCCAGCAGCCGCGGUAAUACGGAGGGUGCGAGCGUUAAUCGGAAUUACUGGGCGUAAAGCGCGCGUAGGCGGUCUGAUAAGCCGGUUGUGAAAGCCCCGGGCUCAACCUGGGAACGGCAUCCGGAACUGUCAGGCUAGAGUGCAGGAGAGGGAGGUAGAAUUCCCGGUGUAGCGGUGAAAUGCGUAGAGAUCGGGAGGAAUACCAGUGGCGAAGGCGGCCUUCUGGACUGACACUGACGCUGAGGUGCGAAAGCGUGGGUAGCAAACAGGAUUAGAUACCCCUGUAGUC